GAGGGUAUAGCUCAGUGGUAGAACACAUGUUUAGAAUGUAUGAGGUCCUGGGUUCAACCCCCAGCACCUGCA
RNAcentral lists this transfer RNA (72 nucleotides) under Camelus bactrianus (Bactrian camel). It matches the Rfam family "tRNA". Rfam says of the family: Transfer RNA (tRNA) molecules are approximately 80 nucleotides in length. Their secondary structure includes four short double-helical elements and three loops (D, anti-codon, and T loops). Further hydrogen bonds mediate the characteristic L-shaped molecular structure. tRNAs have two regions of fundamental functional importance: the anti-codon, which is responsible for specific mRNA codon recognition, and the 3' end, to which the tRNAs corresponding amino acid is attached (by aminoacyl-tRNA synthetases). tRNAs cope with the degeneracy of the genetic code in two manners: having more than one tRNA (with a specific anti-codon) for a particular amino acid; and 'wobble' base-pairing, i.e. permitting non-standard base-pairing at the 3rd anti-codon position. RNAcentral also lists the same sequence under 1 other name. Lineage: Eukaryota; Metazoa; Chordata; Mammalia; Artiodactyla; Camelidae. The record is from Rfam by way of RNAcentral.